GACGAACGCUGGCGGCGUGCCUAAUACAUGCAAGUUGAGCGCUGAAGGUUGGUACUUGUACCAACUGGAUGAGCAGCGAACGGGUGAGUAACGCGUGGGGAAUCUGCCUUUGAGCGGGGGACAACAUUUGGAAACGAAUGCUAAUACCGCAUAAAAACUUUAAACACAAGUUUUAGGUUUGAAAGAUGCAAUUGCAUCACUCAAAGAUGAUCCCGCAUUGUAUUAGCUAGUUGGUGAGGUAAAGGCUCACCAAGGCGAUGAUACAUAGCCGACCUGAGAGGGUGAUCGGCCACAUUGGGACUGAGACACGGCCCAAACUCCUACGGGAGGCAGCAGUAGGGAAUCUUCGGCAAUGGACGAAAGUCUGACCGAGCAACGCCGCGUGAGUGAAGAAGGUUUUCGGAUCGUAAAACUCUGUUGGUAGAGAAGAACGUUGGUGAGAGUGGAAAGCUCAUCAAGUGACGGUAACUACCCAGAAAGGGACGGCUAACUACGUG
RNAcentral lists this ribosomal RNA (497 nucleotides) under uncultured bacterium. RNAcentral describes it as "partial 16S ribosomal RNA". It matches the Rfam family "Bacterial small subunit ribosomal RNA", at positions 28 to 507 of the family's 1533-position model. The record is from RNAcentral.